RNAcentral lists this transfer RNA (76 nucleotides) under Oscillospiraceae bacterium. RNAcentral's name for it is "tRNA-Lys". It matches the Rfam family "tRNA". From Rfam's summary of the family: Transfer RNA (tRNA) molecules are approximately 80 nucleotides in length. Their secondary structure includes four short double-helical elements and three loops (D, anti-codon, and T loops). Further hydrogen bonds mediate the characteristic L-shaped molecular structure. tRNAs have two regions of fundamental functional importance: the anti-codon, which is responsible for specific mRNA codon recognition, and the 3' end, to which the tRNAs corresponding amino acid is attached (by aminoacyl-tRNA synthetases). tRNAs cope with the degeneracy of the genetic code in two manners: having more than one tRNA (with a specific anti-codon) for a particular amino acid; and 'wobble' base-pairing, i.e. permitting non-standard base-pairing at the 3rd anti-codon position. The record is from RNAcentral. Lineage: Bacteria; Bacillati; Bacillota; Clostridia; Eubacteriales; Oscillospiraceae.
GAUCCAUUAGCUCAGCAGGCAGAGCACCUGCCUUUUAAGCAGGGUGUCCGGGGUUCGAAUCCCCGAUGGAUCACCA